Sinocyclocheilus anshuiensis is the source of this 458-nucleotide long non-coding RNA. RefSeq lists it as uncharacterized. The transcript is spliced from 4 exons. The record is from RefSeq and is a predicted model, not a curated record. NCBI's taxonomy places the organism in Eukaryota, Metazoa, Chordata, Actinopteri, Cypriniformes, Cyprinidae.
UCAGAUGACGUCUAUGACUGUGUGGACAUGUAUAUUAUUCCCAAAAAUGACUUUCCAUUAAUGAAAAGAAAGGCAUCAGAUGCUCCGCUGGACUUUUCAGCAGUCAAGUCAUCUGAAUUGCUGAACAACUCUGCCCUCAAGAGUCGAAUUCGUCUUAGCAAAAAGAGACACCACCAACCACCUAAAAAGCACAAAAAAGUAAAAACAGAAACGUUAAGCGCCAUAUUCUACAAGAUUCCUCCGGUAAUCCUGAAUGAAUCUCCUGUCAGCGCAUCUCCACCACGUCACAGCAUUCCCUUUUCCACGUCUCCUCCUCUGCAUGUACCAUCACGUCCAUACCACUUCUGACCAUACCAGAUCUAUCGUCUGCAUUUGUCAGAUUAAAAGAUACCUCGACUGUAAAGACUGGAAAUUUACUGGUGUGCAAAAGAUGGGGGACAUUACAGUGGAUAAUCCAU